GGACCCGCACAAGCGGUGGAUGAUGUGGUUUAAUUCGAUGCAACGCGAAAAACCUUACCUACCCUUGACAUGUCUGGAAUCCUGAAGAGAUUUGGGAGUGCUCGAAAGAGAACCAGAACACAGGUGCUGCAUGGCCGUCGUCAGCUCGUGUCGUGAGAUGUUGGGUUAAGUCCCGCAACGAGCGCAACCCUUGUCAUUAGUUGCUACGAAAGGGCACUCUAAUGAGACUGCCGGUGACAAACCGGAGGAAGGUGGGGAUGACGUCAGGUCCUCAUGGCCCUUAUGGGUAGGGCUACACACGUCAUACAAUGGCCGGUACAGAGGGCUGCCAACCCGCGAGGGGGAGCCAAUCCCAGAAAACCGGUCGUAGUCCGGAUCGCAGUCUGCAACUCGACUGCGUGAAGUCGGAAUCGCUAGUAAUCGCGGAUCAGCUUGCCGCGGUGAAUACGUUCCCGGGUCUUGUACACACCGCCCGUCACACCAUGGGAGCGGGUUCUGCCAGAAGUUGUUAGCCUAACCGCAAGGAGGGCGAUUACCACGGCAGGGUUCGUGACUGGGGUGAAGUCGUAACAAGGUAGCCGUAUCGGAAGGUGCGGCU
Molecule: ribosomal RNA, 598 nt
Filed under: uncultured Aquabacterium sp.
Lineage: Bacteria; Pseudomonadati; Pseudomonadota; Betaproteobacteria; Burkholderiales; Sphaerotilaceae
Description: bacterial SSU rRNA
Rfam family: Bacterial small subunit ribosomal RNA
Source: RNAcentral